This 609-nucleotide ribosomal RNA is filed under the name uncultured bacterium. RNAcentral's name for it is "bacterial SSU rRNA". It matches the Rfam family "Bacterial small subunit ribosomal RNA", at positions 114 to 719 of the family's 1533-position model. The record is from RNAcentral.
UGCCUAGGAAUCUGCCUGGUAGUGGGGGAUAACGUCCGGAAACGGACGCUAAUACCGCAUACGUCCUACGGGAGAAAGCAGGGGACCUUCGGGCCUUGCGCUAUCAGAUGAGCCUAGGUCGGAUUAGCUAGUUGGUGGGGUAAUGGCUCACCAAGGCGACGAUCCGUAACUGGUCUGAGAGGAUGAUCAGUCACACUGGAACUGAGACACGGUCCAGACUCCUACGGGAGGCAGCAGUGGGGAAUAUUGGACAAUGGGCGAAAGCCUGAUCCAGCCAUGCCGCGUGUGUGAAGAAGGUCUUCGGAUUGUAAAGCACUUUAAGUUGGGAGGAAGGGCAGUAAAUUAAUACUUUGCUGUUUUGACGUUACCGACAGAAUAAGCACCGGCUAACUCUGUGCCAGCAGCCGCGGUAAUACAGAGGGUGCAAGCGUUAAUCGGAAUUACUGGGCGUAAAGCGCGCGUAGGUGGUUCGUUAAGUUGGAUGUGAAAUCCCCGGGCUCAACCUGGGAACUGCAUUCAAAACUGACGAGCUAGAGUAUGGUAGAGGGUGGUGGAAUUUCCUGUGUAGCGGUGAAAUGCGUAGAUAUAGGAAGGAACACCAGUGGCGAA